Salmo salar (Atlantic salmon) is the source of this 2898-nucleotide long non-coding RNA. RefSeq lists it as uncharacterized. Lineage: Eukaryota; Metazoa; Chordata; Actinopteri; Salmoniformes; Salmonidae. The record is from RefSeq and is a predicted model, not a curated record.
UUUGAUUUCACAGAAGUGUGAUUGACUUGGAGUUACAUUGUGUUGUUUAAGUGUUCCCUUUUAUUUUUUUGAGCAGUGUAUUUACAAUAAACAGAAUGUUGGAGCCAACAGUAGGCAUAACCUAUUUUAGUAGUCUAGUAGGGCUCACGUACAUGGAGUUGCCGCAGGUGCUUCCUGACCAGAUGCUGGUAUGGUGUCAGGUACUGUCAAUCGGGGUUCUAAUAUUUUCUAUCUUUUCUGUAAAGAAUCGUAAAAACAGUUUGCAGAGAUCAGGUGAUCUGUGAUCAGGUGAUCAGGCAGCCUCAUGCUUCCCACCCGAAACAGUUCGGUACAGUUUGUGCAUAUUAUUAUGACAAACAUUUUUUACGUUUUAGGUUUCGUCGGCUGUUCGGGCACACAUUUUUUUUCUCUACUCUCUUGUCUGUGAUUGGUCAACUGCAGGGGUGCUUCUUGUAGAUUCAGCCCGAAACUCAGUGUGGAUUCAGCAUGGUGAACGCCAACGUCAUGCAUCGAUUGACUGGUACGAUUCUAGCCAUGCAUUAUAUAAACACCACCAUGUAAAUGCCAUGGAGGGAGAUUGCGGAGACGCUGGGGUCCGACCCAACCACUUGUUCAAAAAAGUGUUCGCAACCAGUUCGUCAAGGCAAAGAAAAGAAACAAGGGCCGCAGUGGAGAUGCCGGUGGAAAGGCUUCUCCAGGAACGUUGUUGCUGGCUUUUAUGGCAGGUGAAGCAACGUGCAUCUUCACCAAAGGAUGGGCACAAACACCAGUGAAUGGAGACCGCACCUGGUUUUGUUCUCUGCGCCCCAGCACUUCCUGUUCACCGGCCCCAAGCACUACCUCUGUCCCAGUACUGACUGGUGAUCGGCCCCCAGCCCAUCUCCUGCACUGAGUUGUAGUGCAGAAUUAGGAACAAUCUCCAUGCAGGACUUGGGCAGCUCUAUCCUGGGCCCACCCCCGAGAACUACUCCACUGGCUUGCUCCUCACCGACGCCACAGAGCAGCAGUAGUAGCAGUGGUGUGAGAAGGGAGAAAAGAGCUGCAGACUCCGUCCUUGACACAUCACUUGCAAAGGCUUUGCAAAUGAUUGAAAACAUAUCUCAAGAUCUGGACAACAUCAUGCACCAAGCCACCAGCUUGUCCCAGAGGGUCCUGGCACCUAUGGAUGAACUCUCGCCAAAACUCUGGGAGGAAUUCGAUCACCAGCUGCAUGAGUUCGUGCGUGACGAAUACAGACCACGACGACUGGGACCACAGUGAAAUUAACAACUUGUUCUGUUGUUCAGAUAUCUCAGAAGUCAGACACUUUCAUUUAAUUCCAUACACACUUUUGUUAUUUACAUGUGUCUGUUUUACUAUUGUUCUGAAAUAUUUAUAUUGCUCUUAAAUAUUUUUAUCUACUCUCUUGGCACUAUAUUUGAGCCUUUUGUUGUUUACAUGUCUGUUCAUAGCAGACACUGUUGAACUAUUGUUCAGAAAUAUUUGUAACGACACAUUUUAUACCAUAGACACUUGUUUUACAUGUCUGUUCUCAGCAGACACUUUAGUAUUGUGGUAUAUUUUCAGAUGCAAGAAUAAAGGUUUAUUUGUGUGCUGAAAAAGCACUGACUUUUAUUUCAAUGCAAGGUGUUUCAAUGGAUUAUAUUUGAACAUCAAUUGCUGACAACGACUUUACAGGCUUGUGGUGUAGUUCGGUCUAAUCUAAAUUACUGCACACUGAGGCGUCCCAGAAUCAGGUUUAAUUUUAUAAACAAGAUUUAAAACUACUGGUUCACAGUGCACACAAAGAACUUAGUAUGCAUCCAUCAAGGAUCUUCAUUCUUGCAGCGAUGAUGCCGAAUGCAUACUCUAACUCUCCGACAACGAGAGAGGGGGUAGUUCCAGAUACGCCCAGGUUUAUUGAGAUGUUACCUGUCAUUCAGGAGGUGUCCAAGAGAAUGUCAUAUUAGGUAAACAAAAACAAUAUACCAUUUUCCCGGAACCAAAAGCCUUGAUUAAAUUGCACUUGUUAUAAAGAGGUGUAUGUAGUAAUAAGGGACAUUUAUUCCAACAUUCUAUUACCAACAUACCUGGAUAAGGGUUCGUGAGUGAGGUUCUCAUGUAGGGGGAAAAGCUUAAUCCCUGAGGAAAGUAUGAGGACUUGGCAUUGUGGUAUGUAGCAGAACAGCUGGCUGUGGUAAAUAAAGGGUCUUUGCAACAGUUUGGAUCCAAAAUAACUCUUAACACUCCACCAUAGCUCUCUCGGCUGUAUGCACCUACAUACACCAUUGUGAACCUGUAGCGGGCAUCUUCCUUGUCUCUGUUUUGCGCCUAUUAUACAGUGCAUUCGGAAAGUAUUCAGAUCCCUUGGCUUUUUCCAAAUUUUUACUGCACAUUUUCCUCCAAUUUUCCUCCAAGCUGGAAAAUUGGAUGUAAUAAAUGUAUCACUAGUCACUUUAAACAAUGCCACUUUAUAUGUUUACAUACCCUACAUUACUCAUCUCAUAUGUGUAUAUGCACCAAUUUGUAAGUCGCUCUGGAUAAGAGCGUCUGCUAAAUGACUUAAAUGUAAUGUAAAUGUAUAUACUAUACCAUCUACUGCAUCUUGCCUAUGCUGCACGGCCAUCGCUCAUCCAUAUAUUUAUAUGUACAUAUUCUUAUUAAUUCCAUUACACUUGUGUGCAUACGGUAGUUGUUGUGAAAUUGUUAGAUUACUUGAUACGGUUGCAUGGUUGGAACUAGAAGCACGAGCAUUUCGCUACACUCGCAUUAACAUAUGCAUUAACCAUGUGUAUGUGACCAAUAAAAUUUGAUUUGAAAUCUCCCACUUUCCCACCACCAAAGAAUCCCCAGACCAUCACAUUGCCUCCACCAUGCUUGACAGAUGGCGUCAAGCACUCCUCCAGCAUAUUUUCAUUU